Non-coding RNA from Anas platyrhynchos (mallard), 700 nucleotides. The record is from RefSeq and is a predicted model, not a curated record. NCBI's taxonomy places the organism in Eukaryota, Metazoa, Chordata, Aves, Anseriformes, Anatidae.
CUACAAUUUGCUGUUUGGAGGGCUUUGUAGUGUGAAUACUUGCUUCCACCUGCAAAUUUUAGUUAUUCUAGUAAGAACCUGCAUAGAGCGUUGCUUGGAUUUGACCCAGAUAAGUCCAUUUGCAUUGGACUUAAUGCACUGGGAAGGGCAACUCUGUGUUCUGUGCACUGCUGGUCAUGCUGGCCCACUGCUGGGAAGUCAAGGAGGUGGAGGUCUGACUUGAUGCUGCACAGGAAAGUAUCCCGGUGCCUGGGAUGCCUGUAUGAGUAACUAGCUGCAUCAGUUAUUUGCCACUAGCUGGCAGCUUCUCAUCGAGCCCGGUCAGUCUCUCAGUGAUCAGUCACUGCCAUGGUUCAACACGUUCCCAUUGAAGCAGGCAAAGAACAAGUUGGCAAUCACAACUGAUUUGUAAAUCUGGGGACUUUGCUGCUGCUAAAAUGAGCAACUGAUCUGAGGCAGGGUGAGAGCACUAAGGUUUUAGAGAAGAUCCAGAAGAAAAGUGAAGAAAGCUUCAAAUAGAUGAAAUUGGGACACAGUAGAAAACUGUUCAGAUAAAGUAAUUUAAAACAUUUUUAAAGGAAAAGGAGAGACUGCUUAUUCAGCAAAUAAUUUAUGUCCUAGAGAUUCAGCUUUAUUUUAAAGUCUUCGGGAUAUUAUUGAUCCUUUUGCUGAAAAAUAUAAAUGAAAGAAGGAACAUAAA